GACAGAGGGUGCAAACGUUGUUCGGAAUUACUGGGCGUAAAGCGCGUGUAGGCGGCACGGCAAGUCGGAUGUGAAAGCCCGCGGCUCAACCGUGGAAGUGCACUCGAAACUGCCGAGCUAGAGUCUCGGAGAGGAAGGUGGAAUGCUUGGUGUAGAGGUGAAAUUCGUAGAUAUUCGGAAGAACACCAGUGGCGAAGGCGACUCACUGGACACAUAUUGACGCUGAGGUGCGAAAGCGUGGGGAGCAAACAGG
RNAcentral lists this ribosomal RNA (253 nucleotides) under uncultured bacterium. Its description in RNAcentral is "partial 16S ribosomal RNA". It matches the Rfam family "Bacterial small subunit ribosomal RNA", at positions 524 to 776 of the family's 1533-position model. The record is from RNAcentral.